Molecule: long non-coding RNA, 335 nt
Organism: Jaculus jaculus (lesser Egyptian jerboa)
Lineage: Eukaryota; Metazoa; Chordata; Mammalia; Rodentia; Dipodidae
Exons: 3
Source: RefSeq, a predicted model, not a curated record
CAGCCGGGCUUCCAGGCCUGCCUGCGGUUCAGCGGUGACUCAACGUUUAAACCCGAAGAUUCCCAGUCCCAGCUGCUACAGUUAAGGGGGACAGGGUGUCUGUGAUGGGCCCCGACCCUAGAGGACACUGGUCUGAUAACAGGCUCAGCUCAUCCAUGAUUUUUAAGUUGCCACAGAUUCUCACUGCCUGCAAAGAAGAACCACUAUUGUUAUAGAAAUUACUAUAGCCUGGCAUGGUGGAGCACGCCUUUAAUACCAGCACUCAGGAGGCAGAGUGACCUGUAAUUCUCUGUACCAGGAUGUGGUUUACAUCCACAAUGAGCUGUUGAUCAGAG